GCUGGGCGCAGUGGCAUGCACCUGUAAUCCCAGCAGCUUGGGAGGCUGAGGCAAGAGGAUCUUGAGUUCAAAGACAGCUUCAGCAAAAGCAAGGAGAGCCUGUCUCUA
This 108-nucleotide small RNA is filed under the name Marmota monax (woodchuck). Lineage: Eukaryota; Metazoa; Chordata; Mammalia; Rodentia; Sciuridae. The record is from RNAcentral.